CGCCAUUUUGAUGCUACCAAGCCAUCACCCGCCGUUAGCAUCCCAUUGACUGCCAUUCAUUUUGGCGUCACUUUGACAGCGAAUAACUUUACAUCUGAAGCUAAAGUCUAAAGACUCCAUUUGUCCGUUGUUUUUUUCUAAAGAAACAAGAC
This is a long non-coding RNA of Etheostoma cragini (Arkansas darter), 152 nucleotides long. RefSeq lists it as uncharacterized. NCBI's taxonomy places the organism in Eukaryota, Metazoa, Chordata, Actinopteri, Perciformes, Percidae. The transcript has 3 exons. The record is from RefSeq and is a predicted model, not a curated record.